AACGAACGCUGGCGGCGCGUUUUAAGCAUGCAAGUCGGACGGCAGCGUGUAGCAAUACACGUGAGAGUGGCGAACGGGUGAGUAACACGUAGGUGACUUAUCUUAGGUGAUGGGGAUAGCCUGUGGAAACACAGGGUAAUACCGAAUACAUCUUUACGGGUAAAGCCGUGAAGGGAAAGGCGCUUUAGGCGCUGCACUAAGAGGGGCCUGCGGACCAUUAGGUUAGUUGGUGGGGUAAGGGCCUACCAAGGCGACGAUGGAUAGCCGGCCUGAGAGGGUGUACGGCCACACUGGGACUGAGACACGGCCCAGACUCCUACGGGAGGCAGCAGCUAAGAAUCUUCCGCAAUGGGGAAACCCUGACGGAGCGACGCCGCGUGAACGAGGAAGGCCGAAAGGUUGUAAAGUUCUUUUCUUGGGGAAGAAGUAAGGGGAAGAGGGAAUGCUUCUCUGAUGACGGUAACCGAGGAAAAGCCCGGACAAUUACGUG
RNAcentral lists this ribosomal RNA (490 nucleotides) under uncultured bacterium. RNAcentral's name for it is "bacterial SSU rRNA". It matches the Rfam family "Bacterial small subunit ribosomal RNA", at positions 29 to 507 of the family's 1533-position model. The record is from RNAcentral.